UCGGGGUCUGAUUGGCUGGCGCGGUGCCUCUUUUCCACGUCUGCUCCUGAUUGGCUCUCGCGCACACCCUUCCCGGGAGAACCGCUCACCCUCCACUCUUCUUCAGCCUCCCACCCCAAACCAGAUGUAGCCAGCACCAUAUCUUCCUGCAUGCCACCAUGUUCCAAGCCAUGAUGAUAAUGGACUGAACCUCUGAAACUUAAAAUAAAUGGCAGGUUUUGUAUUAGAAGGAGAAGAAGGAAGAGGAGGAAGAAGAAAAGAAAAACAAACAUCAACUUGACAAAUAAAUACACCACCACUGACCUGACUCCCAGCUUGUAAUCUACUUUUGUGUGUUGUUUUACUUCAUUCCUUAAAGUUGUCUAUUAUAUUCAUUGAAAUCUUUAUGAAAUAUUUUCAGAGAUUUCAUAUUUGCCGAGACACUAUCCUCCUUCAUGUGAUACUAACUUUUAAUAAAGACAGCAUUUCUUAUUGCUCCAUCCUAUUGAGUGCUCUUGACAUUUAUUUCAAGCAUCAAUUGUUACCAAUA
Molecule: long non-coding RNA, 529 nt
Filed under: Cricetulus griseus (Chinese hamster)
Lineage: Eukaryota; Metazoa; Chordata; Mammalia; Rodentia; Cricetidae
Description: lncRNA (ENSCGRG00015032697.1)
Source: RNAcentral